CACGCCGACGCGUUGGAGGGAAGGAAUGCGGCAGGCGGAAAAUUUGGGAAGCAGCACCACGAUUCCUCCCACUCGGGUCGUACUUUUCUGUACUGCGCCCGGGUCUUGGGUGAAGUUAUUACAGGGUUUCGGCCCUCGAUUCUGAGUUACUGGAGUUCUUCUGUACGUCCUGCGAUGGGAUUUCAUAACGAUUCUUGAGCUUCAGGACAGAUGCAGGAAACACUCAGGACCCAGCAACCGGCUGAUUCGGAGGUACACAGGAAAAUGUCAAGACGAAGAAGCAAAGUACAAUCUCAGACCUCCAGCCCACCCAGAACAAGUCCAGAAGACAGACACAAAAGCAAUUAGAAGUCACACACCUGAAAUCUCAGAAAUGAUGGCAACUGAAGUGAAAAGACAAUUUAGUACUAAUAUGGUUUACUGUGCCAUUUGAUUGACUGUGUAUCAGUGUGUGGUGGUCUGAGCAUCUAGAGGAUAACAAUGUGCAUUACAACAAUUAUGCUUGAUUUCCUGGUCUUGUUUUUGAAAUCCAAUGUUGUUCCCAUUGUUUUGUUUCAUUUUAUCUUACUUUCUUUAAAAUAAUAAAAGAGUUACAACAUUUUCAAAACAAUAGAAAA
Molecule: long non-coding RNA, 617 nt
Organism: Cavia porcellus (domestic guinea pig)
Lineage: Eukaryota; Metazoa; Chordata; Mammalia; Rodentia; Caviidae
Exons: 2
Source: RefSeq, a predicted model, not a curated record